AAAUACCUAGAAAUGGAUUGGAAGAUGUUCGUGGGAAAACGAAGCUAGGGGAUUGAUGUUCCUAAAUCAAGAACCCAAGUAUCGUCCUUAUUUUGGUAAUGCUAAAGAGUUGUACUAAGUUCUCCUUAGGAUUUAGAGGUCUUUCAUUGCUUACUUCAUGUGUCUUAACUUUACCAAACUGUGUUAUCUAACAAAUCACAUCUUGUAUUUUGUAUUUUGUUUUAAAUUGAAUGCCCUUUUUCAAAAAAAAAAAUAGUGAGAAAGGACAGCAAAUUAAAACAACAGUAAAAUACAGUGACCAUAAAAUUAAAUCAUAAUUAAAUUAAAUCAUACUUUGGGUCAUGCUUAUGUUUGUGUUAAUUAAUAAGAAUAUAAGAUGAACGCUGAAGUAGAAAUAAAUGUCCCUGUGAUAGAUUUUAUGUACAUAUAUGUAUGGACCAUGAAAAAAUAUAUAUAUACGAGUAUAUACGCUCAUAUAUACUAUAUUAUAUAUAUAUAUAUAUAUAUUAGAAUGUAAACUGUAAACUUAUAACAAAAUAUGUGUGAAAUUCUAGAUCAUAUCUUAUUUCCAUAGUUUGAUCGAAUAGUUACAUUUCUAUUUUCAUUUUUCUCGUCAUAUUAAAAAAAACUCUAUAAGUACUUUGAAAAAUAAAAUCACUCUGUUGGGCUCAUACGCAUAGUAAAAAUAAACUUUGAUAUCACAGAUUAUAAAUAAAUACUUUUUAUACAUAAAAAUAUUUAUGUUUGAAAUUUUUACACAUAUUAAGAAAAUAUAUUAUAUUUAAAUUAUAAAUAUAUUAUUUUAUAAUUAAUUUUUUCAUACAGUUUUUACCCAAUAAAAUUCAACGGCUACAAUUAAUUUUUUGAAAUGUACGUAUAGUUUACGAUUAUGUAAUAAAAAUAGAUUGAAAAACUAAAAGUAUCUCUUUUGAAAUAUUUUUUAAACUGUUUAUUUUUUGAAAUGCAGAGAAUAUUGAAUGUAGAAAACGAAGGGCAAAAAAAUGACAUUAUAUUUAUAUACGAGCCAGUCACGUAGAUAUCACGAGUCUCUUUAGUAACAACGACCAAAAGCUUUGCCAUUUAAGGCACUGCUCUAAAUUCUUUUUGUCCUUUGUCUCUCACGAACAAUAUCUAUUAAAUGUAACCAAGCGCUCGUAGCUUGGUGGUAAAGGAGGUACAGCUGUACUGCCCGCCACCCGGGUUCGAGUCUUGGCCACAACGGAUUUAACAUCCCUUCCGUUGGGGCGCUGGACCCCUUUCGGGGAUAGUUGGGAAUGUGGCUGCCCAGAUAAAAAAAAAAAAAAAAAAAAAAUAUCUAUUAAAUGUUCACCGAUUUUCAUUGAAAAUAUUUACUGAUGUGUUGUAUUAUAUGUUUUUUUUGUUUAACCUAGAGAUAUCCCGAGGAAGCCCACAAAUAUUUUUUUUUGGAUACACAAAUGACUGAAUGAGCAGUAAGCCGAAGCUAUAUUUGUAUAAUUAUCAAGAAAUUAUGAUUUAGUUUUGUACAACAUGUAGAUCGAACUUGAAACAUAUUAACAUUUCACAUCCAUUUUUUUAUCAUUCGACCACAAAUUUUAUACGAAUUAUAUGCUUGCGAUAUAUAUUUACUUGAUUGUAAAACACUUUCUCAAAAAAAAUUUGUAAAACAUACGUUCGAACGUUUAAUGUUCAAAAAAAAAAACAUACGUUCGAACAUCUCAUCAUUUUUCCUCAGAUGACUCAGAGAAACAAUUCUUCUGAGUAUUGACUGCAGUCGAACACGCGUUAUAAGGAAGUCAGAGCGAACAUGGAAUUGUCUUACGUAAGGAUUACCAUGGAAAUGACCUCUAUUGGAUUUUGUCUAAGGUUUAUGCACGGUGGUGUUGUUUAUUUGUUUUGAAAUCCCUCGCUGGAGCUACUCCAAGACGGAUGAGAUUCUAUUUGCAAAUACAAU
RNAcentral lists this long non-coding RNA (1933 nucleotides) under Brassica napus (rape). RNAcentral's name for it is "long non-coding RNA (BNAP_LNC007311)". The record is from RNAcentral. Lineage: Eukaryota; Viridiplantae; Streptophyta; Magnoliopsida; Brassicales; Brassicaceae.